GAGAAGAAAGUUUUUUAAAUAUUCGGUUUCGGCCCGAAAGAGGGGCUAAAAGGCCCUCUUCUCU
This 64-nucleotide transfer RNA is filed under the name Xylophagaidae sp. E23. RNAcentral's name for it is "tRNA-Arg". The record is from RNAcentral. Lineage: Eukaryota; Metazoa; Mollusca; Bivalvia; Myida; Xylophagaidae. RNAcentral also lists the same sequence under 1 other name.